Capsicum annuum is the source of this 492-nucleotide long non-coding RNA. RefSeq lists it as uncharacterized. The record is from RefSeq and is a predicted model, not a curated record. The transcript has 3 exons. Lineage: Eukaryota; Viridiplantae; Streptophyta; Magnoliopsida; Solanales; Solanaceae.
UCUCAUUACUUUUUAUACCACUUGAGCAACAACAUACUCAAUAUAAUUUCAUACGUGGAGCCGGAGGCCUAGGGCGUGGGGAGUGAGGAGGGUGGUGCGUAAGCAACCUUAUUUCCUACCUUGUGAAGUUAGAGAGAAAUUGAUGGUAUAGGCUUAAAAUGAUUUGGAAAUUUCUAUGGAACAUCAUAUUGGCCUAUCUUGAUGAAGCGCAAGGCUAAGGAAUGCUUUCUCGACUUGCCAAAUGGAAGGAAGGAUAGGAGUUUAAUUUCACAGCAUUUAACAACAAGCUCAUUGGAGCGAGAGACUUUUCUGCGUUCAAUGGUGGAACACUAUUAGAUGAGAGAGGGCAUGGUGCACAUACUCCAAAUACUUUUGAUAGUGUUGCUGACAUUUCACCUCUUGCUUAUUUUAAUAUGUAAACAAAUUUUGCAACUCAAGUUGCUUGCGUUCGGAAAGUGACAUGUUAUUAUAUGUGGUAGAUCCACAAUUGAA